CCUGUGAUGGCAGGAAGUGAUGUCACUCUGCGCUGCAGAAGUAAAGAUCUGUCCACACUUGAAGCUUUUUUUUUCUGGGAUGGUUCUAACAUUGGAUCUGGACCUGGACAGUUGAACAUCAGUAACAUCGAUAUGUCUAAUGAAGGUCUUUACUGGUGUUAUAUCGAUCAGACUGCUGUAUCUCCUCGGAGCAGGCUGAGGGUCCGAGGUCCUACUGCCCAUCGCACUGCCCCUCCUUCUCCUCCUCCUCUUUCUCCUCUCCUUCUGCUCCUCCUUCUGCUCCUCCUCUAGUCUCCCCCACUGCCACCCCUCCAGUUGGAGCAGCUGUGGGUUCUCUGGUACCUCUGGUUCUUCUGGUUCUGGUCCUGGUUGGGGUUCUGUUGCUCCACAGGAAUCUAACAGGUCUGGCUGUGCUGACUGCUGCAGGUCUGGCUGUGCUGACUGUUGCAGGUGCGGCUGUGUUGCUGACUGGACUGCUUGUUUCUGCAGACUCCUCUCUGUCUGUGCUCAGACUCUGCUGCCAUCUAGUGGUCUUCUGUCCAUACUGCGUCUCUACUGGUCUGAUGCUGUCCAUCUGCUGCAGCAGGAAGACAGGAAACAAACCAGCCGUCUCCAUGGAGAUGACCCAGCGGGUUGGAGGAAGUGAUAAAUUGGAUGGAGAGUGUGAUGACAUCACUGCUGAUGUCACCACUGAGCAUGACUGAUCUGAAGUUAGCUCCUGGAUCAGUUUGAAUGAUAACUGUCUAACUCAUGAUAAUCUUUUCUUCUUCAGUUUCUUUAUUUUUCAGUGGUCAGAAACAUAAUGUAAAGAGAACAUUUACAAAUAAACACAUAAGGUACUAGCUUACAUAAAUUAGCCGUGUGUACUCUGUAUAACCAGUGAUCUGUGGAUGCUUAGUUUCUGACCAUCCACAGAUGGUGACAAAUGACAGGAGAAAGCAGCAUGACUUAUCUCAGUCUGGAGUCAGGCCACCACGAGCCUCCAGAAUAACUUAUGGCCUUUUUAGAGUCAGGAAUUCUGUUUGGUUUCUUUUAUUCUCUUCUAUCUCAAAGUGUUUCUGGACAUAACCUUUAUACGUUUUGAAGCUUUGGCAAAUAAAACUAGAUAGAUCAUUUUGAUCUAUUGAAAGGUU
Molecule: long non-coding RNA, 1133 nt
Organism: Micropterus dolomieu (smallmouth bass)
Lineage: Eukaryota; Metazoa; Chordata; Actinopteri; Centrarchiformes; Centrarchidae
Exons: 5
Source: RefSeq, a predicted model, not a curated record